CCUACGGGAGGCAGCAGUGGGGAAUAUUGGGCAAUGGACGCAAGCCUGACCCAGCAACGCAGCGUGAAGGAAGAAGGCUUUCGGGUUGUAAACUUCUUUUUAGGGGGAAGAGAAGAGGACGGUAUCCCUUGAAUAAGCCACGUAUAACUACGUGACAGCAGCCGCGGUAAGACGCAGGUUGCAAGCGUAGUCCGGAUUUUUUGGGUGUAAAGGGCGUGAAGUCGGAGCGAAAAGUCAGCUGUGAAAUCUACGGGCUAAACCCGUGAAGUGCAUUUGAAAAUGUUGCCCUUGAGUGCAGGCGGGGUAAUCGGAAUGCGUGGUGUAGCGGUGAAAUGCGUAGAUAUUAGGAAGAACACCGGUGGCGAAGGCGGAUGACUGGAGUGUAACUGACGGUGAGGCGCGAAAGUGUGGGGAUCAAACAGGAUUAGAUACCCGAGUAGUC
This 442-nucleotide ribosomal RNA is filed under the name uncultured bacterium. RNAcentral's name for it is "partial 16S ribosomal RNA". It matches the Rfam family "Bacterial small subunit ribosomal RNA", at positions 338 to 795 of the family's 1533-position model. The record is from RNAcentral.